GAGAAAGUCAUUAUUAAAAGUACGUGAAACUGCUUAGAGGUUAAACCCGAUGAACCUAAAUAUCCAGUAUUUUAAUGAGGACAUUGUAAUCUGUUAAGUAUAUUAUUUUAUAAUGUAUUAAUAGUGUGCAUUUUUUUCAUAAAAUUGCUUUACAUAUAAAUUAUACAAUUUAUAUAUAUUAUUUUUAUCAAUUAAUUUAUUAAUUAAUUAUUCUUUUAAAAUAUAAUGCUUACAUAAAGAGUCAUGUAUAAGUGAUGUAAGAUCGAUGAAUUUCUAGAUAAAUAGUUGCACGGCUUAGUAUUAAAAUAUAUAAUUUUUUAUGUUUUAUAUAUAAUAUGUACAUGUACGAUAUAUAUGUAACUUAAGAAUCAUAUUAUAACAAUGAUUUUUAAAGGCU
RNAcentral lists this ribosomal RNA (397 nucleotides) under Eyprepocnemis alacris alacris. RNAcentral's name for it is "eukaryotic LSU rRNA". The record is from RNAcentral. Lineage: Eukaryota; Metazoa; Arthropoda; Insecta; Orthoptera; Acrididae.